UAACUUCCUCUUGGAUAGACGCCUUCCUUCUAACAAUCAUCUUAGAAGAGUUGCACCGUUUUAUUUAGCUAUCUAUAAAAAUCAGAACCCAAAUGGCACUUUUUCCUUGUCUUUGAUUUUCUCUGCUAAGACAACAGGUUUUGGCGCUAACCUCCUUUUCACCGGAUUCUCAUAUUCUUUCAUUUAAUCAUCUACUUCUUAUAGUUUUUUCCAAUUUCACUUGAUGGUUUGAUUCAUCUAUUUCCGGCUAAAUCUUUAGCGAUAUCCCUUUUCUGCCGAAAUUGAAUUACAAGAUCCUAUAUAUAUUUGAAAAAGAUGAAAUCUCCUCUAUAUUUACCGACAGUUCUAUGAGUCCCCGGCCCAUUCUACUCAGUUAGUUUGUUGUAUUCUGGAAGUUACAUUAAUAUGGACAAUGACUUCUUACAGAUCGGAGUAAUAUAUUUUACUUUCCCGAUCAUUUCAGGAAAAUAGAGGUACAAGCAACGCUAAAGUCCAUCAUUUUGAUAAAUGUAAUAUUUCCUUCAAAGGUUCCUCUUUAUUCCUAUUUUAAUUUAUUUACACAUCUUAUGAAUGUUCUUUGUUGAACUUAUGACGUGUUUAUCUAA
This is a long non-coding RNA of Nicotiana attenuata, 605 nucleotides long. RefSeq lists it as uncharacterized. The transcript has 2 exons. The record is from RefSeq and is a predicted model, not a curated record. Lineage: Eukaryota; Viridiplantae; Streptophyta; Magnoliopsida; Solanales; Solanaceae.